UCAAAGUGCGCGGAUCGUUUAGAGGAGGUCCGAUCGACUCCUGCCUAAAAUAAUUUUAAGUUUGUCGUUGAGUCUUUUGUGAGUUUUUAACAAUUUUGUGUACAUAAUUUGAAAGGUGGCAUUUAUUGCAUGUUUCGAGGUGUCAAUAAGCUGAGUUGAGAUUGUUGUAAAACUAUUAUAUAUAUAUAUAUAUAAAACAAGUUGAUCGCCACCUGGAGAAGAUGGGAAAGUUCGAGUAUUCGCUGGGUCUCAAUGAGUUCAAGUCGAAGGAUUUGCGCCUCUGGCAGGCGCUCAUGGGCGAAUUAAUUGGCAAUUUGAUCUUGAACUUCUUUGCCUGCGGCGCCUGCACACAGCCCGAGAAUGGCUUAUUCAAGGCGCUGGCCUUUGGCCUGGGUGUCUUCAUGGCCAUUACGAUCGUGGGCCACUUGAGCGGUGGUCAUGUUAAUCCAGCUGUUACCGUGGCUAUGUUGGUAGCAGGUCGGAUUAGCGUAAUACGCGCUAUCUUCUAUAUUCUCUUUCAGUGCCUGGGCGCCAUUUUAGGCACGGCGGCUGUUAAGAUCCUACUCGAUUCACACUAUCACAACGGGCUGGGUCACACGACUCUGGCACAAAAUCAGACGGAGCUGCAGGGCCUGGGCAUUGAGUUCUUCCUGGGCCUCGUGCUGGUGCUGACCGUCUUUGGUGCCUGCGAUGCCAACAAGCCCGACUCCCGAUACACAGCUCCCUUGGCCAUUGGCAUGGCGGUGACCCUGGGCCAUUUGGGCACCAUUCAUUACACGGGCGCCAGCAUGAAUCCGGCACGUACUGUAGGCACUGCCGUAGCCACUGGCAAUUGGAGCGCCCACUGGAUCUACUGGGCCGGGCCCAUACUGGGCGGCAUCGCAGCUGCUCUGCUCUACACACAGAUACUGGAGGCGAAGGCCACGCCCAAGAGCAGCGAAAGCGCUGAGAAAUAUCGCACGCAUGCCGAUGAACGUGAGGUGAGAGCUUUUGCGGCUUGGCAUGACAAGAGUUUCUAUUGAUACACACACACACACUCACACACCUUUACACAUACCUACACACACUCAGAUUCUGCGCAAACUGGAAGGAUCACGCGACUAUGCCUAGUUCUAUGAAUAUCCUGGACAUAUGCAUACAUCCUGUUGGCAGGCAACUCGCAUCCUGUCGAGUCACUAGCCGCAAUGCUCAAUAAGAAUGGAAAAGGAAUUUGAUUGAAUUGCUUUCGUCUUGAUUCCGUUUCGUUAUAAUCUUGAAUAAUAUUUUCGUAUACGUGUUAAUUUAUAAAUGUAUGAGUAUUUAUGUUAUAUUAUUUAUGCAACAUCAUUUUAAAACCUAAUAUUUAAUAUAAGCUGUGCUUAACCAAACCCAAAUCAAAGCAAACUUCUUCUAUAUAGAUAU
Molecule: RNA transcript, 1401 nt
Organism: Drosophila hydei
Lineage: Eukaryota; Metazoa; Arthropoda; Insecta; Diptera; Drosophilidae
Gene: Prip
Gene name: aquaporin
Exons: 5
Source: RefSeq, a predicted model, not a curated record